Molecule: ribosomal RNA, 433 nt
Filed under: uncultured bacterium
Lineage: Bacteria
Description: bacterial SSU rRNA
Rfam family: Bacterial small subunit ribosomal RNA
Source: RNAcentral
AAAGCUCUUUCGCCAGGGAUGAUAAUGACAGUACCUGGUAAAGAAACCCCGGCUAACUCCGUGCCAGCAGCCGCGGUAAUACGGAGGGGGUUAGCGUUGUUCGGAAUUACUGGGCGUAAAGCGCACGUAGGCGGACUUGAAAGUUGGGGGUGAAAUCCCGGGGCUCAACCUCGGAACUGCCUUCAAAACUCCAAGUCUAGAGUUCGAGAGAGGUGAGUGGAAUUCCGAGUGUAGAGGUGAAAUUCGUAGAUAUUCGGAGGAACACCAGUGGCGAAGGCGGCUCACUGGCUCGAUACUGACGCUGAGGUGCGAAAGUGUGGGGAGCAAACAGGAUUAGAUACCCUGGUAGUCCACACCGUAAACGAUGAAUGCCAGUCGUCGGGUAGCAUGCUGCUCGGUGACACACCUAACGGAUUAAGCAUUCCGCCUGGGG